RNAcentral lists this ribosomal RNA (421 nucleotides) under uncultured archaeon. RNAcentral's name for it is "partial 16S ribosomal RNA". It matches the Rfam family "Archaeal small subunit ribosomal RNA", at positions 323 to 746 of the family's 1478-position model. The record is from RNAcentral.
CUACGGGUGGCUCCAGUUAGGAAUAAUCUACAAUGCGCGAAAGCGUGAUAGUUUGAGCCAGAGUGUUUUUCAAUUGAAAGACUUUUGUGAAAUGUAAAAAGUUUCACGAAUAAGGACUGGGUAAGACUAGUGCCAGCCGCCGCGGUAAUACUAGCGGUCCAAGUCGCAACCAUUUUUAUUGGGUCUAAAACAUCCGUAGCUUGCUUGACAAGUCUUCUGUGAAAUUUUACGUCUAAAACGUAGAGCGCGCAGAAGGUACUAUCAAGCUAGAGACCGGAAGACGUAAGAAGUACAUUCAGAGUAGCGGUUAAAUGUGUUAAUCCUGGAUGGACUAACAAGAGCGAAGGCAUCUUACGAGGACGGUUCUGGCAGUAAGGGAUGAAAGCUAGGGGCGCAAAUGGGAUUAGAUACCCUAGUAGUC